This 1159-nucleotide long non-coding RNA is filed under the name Salmo salar (Atlantic salmon). Its description in RNAcentral is "lncRNA (ENSSSAG00000098256.1, ENSSSAG00075011934.1)". The stretch from base 968 to 1021 matches the Rfam family "UnaL2 LINE 3' element". Lineage: Eukaryota; Metazoa; Chordata; Actinopteri; Salmoniformes; Salmonidae. The record is from RNAcentral.
GUUUAUUGUAAGUACGUGUGCUUUAUGUGACUGGUGCGAUAUGGGUUUUGUUGCCCAUGUGUUUUGUUAUUUUUGUAUGCCGGUAGUUAUGUACAUUUAACAGCUCCGGCUAUUUACCAAGUUCUGCUCUCCUGCGUUUGACUUCCAUGCCACCAGUUACGCACCCCUGACACCGUGGAGUAGAUUUGCACAGGGGCUACACUUGAGGCAUGUUGAUAUGAUAGAGGAUGGCAUUGCACGGAGCACAAGGACCCUGACAAGGAUGACGAAAAGUCUGAGAAAGUGCAAUCGUGGAAUGAUGAGGCCAACGUGGAGAAGACAGGGUUGGGUGUUUGGGAUGUUGGAGGUCAAACACAACAGACGGCGCCAGUUCUUAAAAUGGUGGAAAACCGUACACAGGAAACUUUAAUCCCUUUCAUCAGACGACAUGUGCGAAGAGGUUCCACCAUUCUGAGUGACUGCUGGAAAGCGUAUGUCAGGUCUCUGAAUAGUCUGGGUUACAAUCACCAAACAGUCAACCACACAAACAACUUUGUGGAUCCUCACACAAGAUGUCACACACAACACAUUGAAAGAGCGUGCCAGACAAUAAAGGGACAGGUCUGGAGGCUAAGAGGGAAUCGGACCAAAAAAAGUUUAAACAAGCAUCUCCAUUUUAUUGAGUGGAUGUACUGGUUGGGUAAAGAAAAUAAUAAAGGAGUACUCUCUCAACUCUUCAAACACAUCCGAUAAGUAUAUCAGCUGUAGGAUUUUCACUCGUAGUAUGCACCCCCUAGAGGAAAUGUAUUGUCAAGACCAUUCCAAGCUGUAAGAUCAGACAUUGUUUGUCACAUAAGUGUUAUCUUUCAAAAAAAGAGCUUAAUGGGUCCCGUGUGGCUCAGUUGGUAGAGCAUGGUGUUUGCAACGCCAGGGUUGUGGGUUCGAUUACCACGGGGGACCAGUACGGGGAAAAAAUUUAUGAAAUGUAUGCAUUCACUACUGUAAGUUGCUCUGGAUAAGAGUGUCUGCUAAAUGACGUAAAUGUAAAUGUGAUGAACUAUCCGAGUUGUAACUGAGACCUUUCCAUUUCAAUGUGAAUAGAAUACUUACAGAUGAGUUGUUUGUUGCACAGUGCCUCAAAAAGGACAUUCAGUUCCAAAUAUUUUGUGAUUUUUAUAAA